GCCUGAACUUUCUCAUCUAACACCUGUUCAAGUCGGAGGAUGCUGAUUAAUUCAUGAUGGAAAGGUAUCAAUUUCACAGCCCAGACUUCUACAUUCUUGAAAUGCUGUUCUCAUGGGAGACAUUAAAUAAGCUUUGAAAUAACUGAAGAACCAAUGAUGUGAUCCCUGGAUACUGGCAAUUGUUGCCCAAGAAACCCUCUCCCCUUGCUAUGGGACUGCUGGGCACCCAAAUAAUGCACCCAAAUAAUUUGAUAGCUCUUGUUACACAGCUCUUUUUGGACUAAAAGGCCCUCAGCAUUCCUGGCAAUUUCUACACUCCUGAAGCUUCAUCUGACGUCUGUGGAUUCUAUAACUCAAAGACCCAGGCUGAUGGCUGGUGGAAUAGCUACCAUCUCAAACAUGGCGUGAUGCUGCAUCAGAGGGAAAAAUAAGCUCUUGCACUGGCAAUGAAAUGUCUACCCUGUAGUGACUUGUGCUUACUUCCACUCACAAAUGAUUGCCCAGAGCUACUUACCUGGCUCCAAUCUACCACUGGGACCUUGUAUUGAAGACAGCAUAACCCCCAAGAGGAAAGGAGCUUGGAGCCCUGAAUCAGAGUAGAAGACAGGCUGAACACCAGCCUUGGACUGUUGUGUGAAUGAAAAACAAGUUUUGAGAUUUGUG
RNAcentral lists this non-coding RNA (663 nucleotides) under Pongo abelii (Sumatran orangutan). The record is from RNAcentral. Lineage: Eukaryota; Metazoa; Chordata; Mammalia; Primates; Hominidae.